RNAcentral lists this ribosomal RNA (253 nucleotides) under uncultured bacterium. RNAcentral describes it as "partial 16S ribosomal RNA". It matches the Rfam family "Bacterial small subunit ribosomal RNA", at positions 524 to 776 of the family's 1533-position model. The record is from RNAcentral.
UACGUAGGUGGCAAGCGUUGUCCGGAUUUACUGGGCGUAAAGGGCUUGUAGGCGGUUCGUUAAGUCCGGUGUGAAAUCUCCCGGCUCAACCGGGAGCGGCCAUCGGAUACUGGCGAGCUAGAGGUGGGCAGAGGAAGGCGGAAUUCCCGGUGUAGCGGUGAAAUGCGCAGAUAUCAGGAGGAACACCGGUGGCGAAGGCGGUUCUCUGGGCAUUACCUGACGCUGAGGAGCGAAAGUGUGGGGAGCGAACAGG